This 203-nucleotide ribosomal RNA is filed under the name uncultured bacterium. Its description in RNAcentral is "partial 16S ribosomal RNA". It matches the Rfam family "Bacterial small subunit ribosomal RNA", at positions 1300 to 1500 of the family's 1533-position model. The record is from RNAcentral.
GCAGUCUGCAACCCGACUGCACGAAGCUGGAAUCGCUAGUAAUCGCGGAUCAGCAUGCCGCGGUGAAUACGUUCCCGGGUCUUGUACACACCGCCCGUCACACCAUGGGAGCCGGAAAUGCCCGAAGCCUGUGACCCAACCCGCAAGGGGGGGAGCAGUCGAAGGCGGGGCCGGUGACUGGGGUGAAGUCGUAACAAGGUAUC